This 10795-nucleotide long non-coding RNA is filed under the name Homo sapiens (human). RNAcentral's name for it is "HSALNT0273143". Lineage: Eukaryota; Metazoa; Chordata; Mammalia; Primates; Hominidae. The record is from RNAcentral.
GGCCAGGUCAAAGAGUCUAUAAGAAAGAAAUAGAUGAUGUACAGACAGUAUGGUAUGGAUAGAGAGAUGAACAGAUGAAUGGACAGGUAGAUAAAUGAAGGACAGCACAGAAGUAGACAUCAGGAACUCCUCAUUCUGUUAACGCUUCAUCAUCAACUAUCUCUUUUAAAGCUAGGCAAACCGUUUCAUUUUUCUGGGGCUAUUUUCCCUUACCUAUGGGGUGAUGAUCCUAAAGGCUCUUCUCAGGCCCCUCCUAGCUCUCAUUGUCUUUGAUUUUAUGAAACUAGAGAAUUUUCCAAAAUGAUUCAAUUUGACCUUGGCAAUGCCAGGGCCAUUUUGCCAGGAUUUCCCAGAAUUCAUUGCACCAUAAUCAUGGAGGGGACUCGGGAGGUCUUAUUCAUCCAGAGAUCUGGCAACAUCUGGGCAUCCUGAUUUACAUGCAGUGUCCUCUCUUUAUGUUACACUGGAAAGCAACUGUGAGCAAAGCUUACUAUAGAAAGUUCCCACCCUGAAUGAAGACGUUCAAACCAUAAGAAACCAGCAUACUAAAAUUAGCAGUGAUGGCCCCUCUUGCUUCACAGGGCAAAUAGAAAAGUCAGCAUUACCCAAGUCAACCUGGGAGUCUGCAUGCACUUGGCUUUUUUCUAGAAGUCCCUUGUAAAAUGUGAGACUUUCUACCUGGGGCUAUUGCACCUCUAUAUAUCAUACUUAUACUUAUUCCACGCAUUUAGUUUUUCCCCAGGCCCCAAAUUCCAUUUGGCAGGGAAGACUGUGUAAAAAUGGAUGCUUCUUUGGCGCAAAUCCCUUCUGUCUGCUCAGAGGGUGCUUCUCCAUAUAACAACUGUUUUCUUAAGUUGUAAAACAGCAGGGGCAGAGUAAACUGUAUAUACAGCCAGACCGUUACAAUCGCAUAGACAUCUUUUUUCCCCUCUGACUGCCAAUUCUUAAAAGUCAGAGUCGCCACCAUUUGUUUUCUGAAGCUCAAUAACUUUGUUAUUUCUUUGAAUGUUACAGGAAAUGCUGGCAGUGAGGCAAAACCCAGCCUUCUUUAUGCAUGAGGAAAUAAGAGAAGUAGAGGGUAUACCCAGGGUCACCUGGCUUCGGCUUCUUCAGGCUGGUCGGCAUUUCAACUGUCCCAGAGACGGCUGUUGCUUCUAGUUCUAAAUACAGUGGUUCUACAGCCUCCUGAAGGAGCAUUUCUCUAAGUUUAGUCACCCUCAAAGUCGAUUUUCUUAUACCUAACAACUGCCUCCCUCCCAGCCAGGCCCCUUGCCAUAAUUCAAGCCUGCUUCCUCUUUGGUCCUCUGUGGAGAACAAACUUGCUUUGGUGUUUAUGUUCUGUUUAAUGCAGGGUUACAUUAACGUAGGAAUGUCCAGGUUGACAUUCCUACUCUGGAAACCUAAGAAGAGCUCACAGUCAUUCCUUAGACCUGUGUGGUCCUGUCUGUGUCUAUGGCCUGCUUUUCACUCAUAAAGAAGAAUCAGGGUCUGUUAUCAAGUCCCACAGUCUCCCAAGUCUAGGCAUGGCCAGAAAGUCUCGAUCAGAAAAAGCUGAGAGGGCCCUCUGGGGAAAAAUGCAGUCAGAUCUGGAGGGAGUCACCGAGCACAGCAAAUGGAAGGAAGGGAAAAAGCAGACGAGGAACACCAUAUCCUGGUGGCCUGCCCCUGGUGGGCAUGGUGAUUAUUUGCAGAGCUCCAUCCACUCAAGGACUUUGGGAAAGUUGAUGCAGCUUGGGGAAUGGUUCCAGAAGGUGACCCAGAUGCCAUGAGGUUGUGGCCAGGACCACAGGGAAGGCUGCCAUAAAAGCUGCCGUGAUCACAGGAUAGCCUGCAGAGAACUACCUUAAAACCCCACCUAGAAACCACCAUGCAGGGAAGGUCAUCUAGAGGGGACUGGAGCAGUAGCCAGGGAUGAAAGCAGGGAUGCCCUACUGGGGAUCACUAACAUUUCCUGCCUUCAUUCUCUGCAUCAGGCACACAGCAUCAUUUGGCUUGAUCUUAUAAAGAAGCUCUCAUUAUUAUCCCCAUUUUACAGAAGAGGAAAGUGAGGUUCAGCAAGGCUCUGUAGCUCACUGAAGGCUUAAGAAUUCCACUGGCUUGCCCAUAAAGCCCAAAUUCUUAACCACUUCAUUUUACAACCUGACCUCCCUGCAUCUUGGCUUUUGGGGACAGUAGGAAGCCCUGUUUUUCAAUAUCCCUCACUCCAAGAAGAGAGUAUAUUAAUUUUCCACCAGGGACCUGAUACGGUUUGGAGACAUCUGGAUGCUGGGCGGGGGUGCUGGGCAGUUCCACAGACCUGGAACUGUAACCCAGCCUCAGAUCCUGGGGAAGGGUGUGGUUCUGGAAAAGAGCGUUACUCUGGUGUUUACUCAAAGAUAGUCAUUAAGUCACUGUGAAGACAUCUUUUCUGCAGACUAAACAACCUCACUCAUUUUUUUAAAAGCUUCCCUCACAGGAGUUAUUUUUUGGUACUAUCUUUCUAUAUUUACUGGUUUUCCCCAGACAUUCUUCUACCCUCCCACUCUCUAUCUUAAAAAUGCCUGUAAUAAGAUUUUGAUCUGUGCCAUAGAAAGAAAAGGGUCAUUUUCAUAGUUUUCAUCUCUGGCCCUCAUGAAUUAAUAAAAGGCCAGCAUAGACGGUAAUUACUCCCUUGUGGUCCACUCUGACCCUCAGACCUCUUUGGGCUGCCUCUGUGCCUGGCCAAUCUUCCAUUUACUAUUUGUUUCUGAUCCUGUUGAACUUUACUGUAUAUUGAGGAAGCAGUCCUUAGUUUCAUGCUGCCCUGAAUGGUUCUAACAUAUGAUUCAGUCAGCCUAAUUUCCUUUUGCCCUCUAAAAGGAUGCUUCAAAAAGAGCUCAGUGCACAGAAACAAGCUUUGAGUAGCGAGAGUAUUGACAAUGCAACUUUUUGGCUUUACGGGGGCCUGACAUCCCCCUGGGGGAAAGGUUGAACCCAAGGAAUCUGAGACAUGGUCCCUGAGUAUACCAGCCUGGAGGGUGUACCAGCCUGGAGGGUGUACCAGCCCCAAGUGGAUGCACUUACUUCGAGGUUCUCGGGGCCCAUCCACUGUGAUUUUGAUGGCUCUGUGGUAGGUGGCGACUUGCGGUGGGUUUGUGAAGACAGUGAUGGUCAGAGUGAAGCUUUUCCCUGUGGGGACACGAUAGAGAACAAAACAGAAUGAGGUUGGUGGCCUGAACAUAUCUGUUGAAUAACCAAUCAUUAAUUUAUGCUGUCCAGCCCUUCAGCACAAGUUACCAGUUUUGACAACACUCCCGGAAUUUUGGCUUUGCUUCAAUUCUGGAAUACACACCUAUGAUAGUUGCCUAAGUGUAACACUUCACAUAGUUAUAUGGCUUUAAUGUAAUCAUCAAUAAACAAUACAAGAUCAAGAAAGAUUAGAAUUUAUUUUCUGUUAAGUCAGGAUUUCCGGAAACCAUAGAGUCAGAUUGGCAGCUCUCCACUUCUGGUUCCCAACUUCCCUGCUCCCAUCUUUCCCAAUUAUUUAUAAUUCAGGGCAAAUAAGAGUAGAAGAAACCAUAUCCAUCUUUCUCUUCUUACUUUGUACCUUUGAAGAUCAGGAAAGAUAGAAUUUCUAAGUUUGAAAACAGGCUAAAUUAGAAUCAUUCUGUCUAUAUUUUUAAAAGACGAAGUCUGGCUGAUUUUAAAUAUUAUUUGAAAAUGCCAGAUGUUAUUAGAGGUACUCAUGGGAUCAGUCAGAAUAAAAUUGAUGACUCAUAAAUGGACUUAAGUAUAUGUAACUGACAGACUGAGAUUCAAUAAGUACUAGUAAUAAAAAAUGCACAAAAUUUCCAUUACACAUUUUACAUAUAUUUAUAAAAGGUGAGAAAAUCUUCAUUGCAUAGAUUUACUAAUCUAAAAACAUUUCUUGUUGGUAAAGUGAUUCAGAAGAUAAAUCUGGCUAGCUGACCUUUGGCAAGUCACUAGACACCUCUAUGUUCCUCAGUAUCCUUACCAGGAAGAUGGUUACAUGCAAAUUUUCCUACCUUAGAGAGUUUUAGGGGAGAUUAAAUGAUUUACCGUGAGUAACCCUGUUAAAACAGUUAUCUGGCACACGGUAUUCAACAGGGUGUGUCUGUGCGUGUGUGUGUGUGUGUGUGUGUAUGUUGUCUGCUUUAUUUCUCUUCUCUGUUUCUCACGGGUCUAUAAUAGGACCCUAACAUUUGAUUAAGUCUGAUGUUCAAUCUUCCUACAUCAAUACAGUAGUUCUUUAAUCAACAUAGUUUCUCCUCUUAAUCAUGUAGCAUAAAGUAAAUCAAAGACAGAUGAAAGGAAAAUAUUUUCAAUUGUCACACAUGUCUUAAUACAAAGGAAGGCCACAGAAAAACAAAUGUCAUGCGUGUCUUAAUACAAAGGAAGGCCACAGAAAAAUGCUCAAUGAAAAUAUAAUCUUUGGCCACAGCAAGCCACGAUUCCUAAUCGUGAGAAAUCUCCACCGAACACUCCCCAAAGAUGUGGAUUCUAUCUGUAUUAAAGUCUAUAAUAAAAAGAGCAAUAGCAAGUAACAAUUAGAUGAUGAAGGCUGCUCUGCCCAUUGUGCCUUUAUAACUAAAGUCUCAGCUGACCUGUCCAAUAAACGAGGUGAGGAUGCUUCUGGGGAGUGACUUCCAUGGAGCAGAGCAUCAGGGAUGCCAGGAGACUCUGCCUCCAAAUCCAUCUUUCCCAUCAACUGGCCUGUCCCCAGAACCUAGAGACGAGUCUUGUUGGCCUUUGGGGAUUUGCCAGUUUUAGGACAUCGUUCAGAUGUUAUCAGGCGACACUCUGGAUGCUUUCCUACCGUGGCAUCUAGCUGAAGGAGAGGACUGGGUAGAAGAGGCCUUGGCCAGGCCCAGCAAGCAGGGUAUGUGAUGUGAUGUGGAGGAAGAUGCUGCCGCAGAGGGAGGCAGGUCCUGGGGGCAACUGCCCAUCUCACUGGGCAGUCUCUGGCUUUCCAAGAACAGAUCCAGGAGCAAUGACAGCCACAGACGGGGAGCAGCCACAUCCACAUGUUCCAGAGCUGACUAACAGAUUGUCCUACAAGCCUCAUGGUCAGCCUGUUCCCUCUCUGUCAAGAACCCAUGAAGGUUAUCACCUGUAUCAUCAAGACUGAACUCCAGAACCUGCUUUUAGGAUCUUCUCACUAAUAAGACCCUGCCCCAAGUAAUUUCUCACUCACCCCCUCUCCUCCGCAUACCUGACUCCCAGUGUGCACCCUCCGAGUUCUACCCAUGAGCCAUGGCAUUGAGAUGCUGAGGUCUUCCUUCCUCCAGCCACUUCGCCAAUCCAAGGCUCCUUGCUGCACCCUUCACCCGAGUCUUCCUGCCCUUCAGCAUCUGGCAACGGGCAGUCACUCAGUCACUUGUUUUCCAGGCAGCCUUCCUUGAUGACUACAUUUUGCUUUAUGGCUGUUUGGGCUGCCUCAUAAAUCAUCCUUCACCUUUGAUUAUUUAGGGUGUCAUACUGAAUGCAGUUUGCGGCUGUGUAGACCUAGUCUCCCAGAAGGUGGGGACCCUUUUCUAUAUACCCAUGUAGCCCUCACAGAAAGGUGGGAAAGGGUGCAAGUGGGAAGGGGCUUUAGGAGAGAGGGGGUAUUUAAAAUUAAAAAAAAAAAAGUCCCUUGAGGACACAACAAUAGAUAAUGCCAUUGUCCCAGUCCUGAGUAGGUCUAGGGGUGCAUGUGGGUGUAUGAGAGAGAGAGAGAGAGAGACUGAGGUGGUUCUUUCAGCAAGAGAGUUACAAGUUUGGGGAUGCAAUACAAACGAUUUUACCUCUCCAGAUCUCAGUUUCCUCAUCAGCAAAAUGAGGGGGGUUCAUGGGAUGCAUGCAAUGUCCCUUUCAACUCUCUGAUUUCAUCUUCCAAGAAUGCAGCUGGCCUGAGAUGCCCAUAGCCAUGUGCAGGCGGGCAGGUCCACGUGUGAUUCUUCUGUUGCCUACAACUCUAGCACCUCAGUGACUUCAUAAAAAUACUGUAUUUGUUUCCUGGGGCUGCUGUAAUAAAUUAUCACAAACUGGGUGGCUUACAACAAUAGAAAUUAAGACUUUCACAAUUCUGGAAGUCAGAAGUCCCAAAUCAAGGUGGCAGCAGGGCCACACUCCCCCUGAGGGCUCUAGGGAGGAUCCUUGCCUCUUUCUCGCUUCGGAUGGUGGCCAGCAUUUCUUGGCGUUUCCUGACUUGCAGCUGCAGCACUCUAGCCUCUGCCUCCAUCUUCACAUGACUGUCUUCCUACUGGGUGUCCCCUCCCUCUUCUUAGAAGGACAUCAGUCAUUGGACUUAUGGCCCACCCAAGUCCAGUAUGACUUUAUCUCGAUUACACCUGUAAAGACCUUAAGCCAUAUUUUAAGGUUCUAGGUGGACAUACACUUUUUGGAGAACACUAUUUAACUCAGUACAAAUAGCAAUGUAGUAAGAGCUCCCAUCAUGGCUCUACCAGUGACAACUGCUCUACAGGCACGCGUGUGUUUUACCCUCUGGAACAGUCUUGCUCCGAUAGUGGCUCUCCUACCACCACGCUAUCCACGACUACCCAAAUGACAACAAAGAAUGGUUGCAUUCAUAAUACUGGCAUUUUUAAGUCGUGUAGAACUUACAACUUUUUAAACACCUUCCCAUAUACUAUUUCAUUUGGUCCUCACACCAAUCUCAUGAAAUAAACAAGAUGGAUUUUAUUGUUCUUGAUGAAUAGGUAGCAAAGCUAAGGCCCAGAAAGGUUAAGUAAUUUUCCCAAAGUCACACAGCUUUGAUAUACAGCAAAACUCAUAUCCCUGAGCUUUCUACUCACUGUUCUUCCGGUUAUUAUCCCUGAGGUCAUAAAUCUCCACCCGCAAACCCAAUAGCACCAGUACAAGAAAUCUGGACUGGAGAUACUUUAUCCACACCUACCACUGCCCCAAAAAGUAAAAUCUGACUCUGUGAUUCUAAUGUACCAAUGGUACUCAACCUGGGUUAUAGCUCAAAAGCAUUUUCUUACUGAGCUGCGUUUGGGCCUCUGGCAGUUGAGCACUCAUGACACCCCAUCUGGUAAACCACAGACUAACCUAUAUAAUCAGGAGUAAAACUUAAUCAAAGUGAUAAUUUGUGAAAUGAAUGGUCAUUAUCUGAAUUCUCAUUAUUUCAUGCCCAUCUUUUUUUUUUUUUUUUUUUUUUGAGAUGGAGUCUUGCACUGUCUCCUGGGCUGGAGUGCAAUGGCGUGAUCUCGGCUCACUGCAACCUCUGCCUCCCGGGUUCAAGCGAUUCUCCUGCCUCAGCCUCCCGAGUAGCUGGGAUUACAUGUGCAUACCACCACACCCAGCUAAUUUUUUGUAUUUUUAGUAGAGAUGGGGUUUCACUAUGUCAGCCAUGCUGGUCUCGAACUCCUGACAUUGUGAUCCGCCCACCUUGGCCUCCCAAUCAUGCCCUUCAUUUUAAGCACAGUCACAAGACAUUUCCACCGAGCACACACUAGUAGGUGGGGCGUUUUGGCCAGUCAUGUGGUUCUCCCUCACAAAGGGCUCUUGUUUACAGCUUUGGGUACAAGGACAUUUGCUUAUUAUCUUACAGACACAGUGAUGACUUCUUCACAGGUGUAGGUGACAUUUUUCCACAGCACGAAAACUGCCUUACACGUCCUUUGUAUUCUUCCAAUGAGACCCAGCAGAGCCUUGAUACUGGGCUGCAGUCAGCAACGGGCGCACCUGACAGGAGCCACAUGCUCUGCCCUCCACGUGGCCCUGCCCUCUCUGUGGCCCCACCCCAUGGCGGCUGGGACACAGCCCUUCUUGGCCAGCAUCUGCAGAAGUAGGAUCUGUGCCUCGGGGCACACGUGUUAUGAGCCAAAUUCCCUCAUUGAAAUGACCUAUAGGCCUGGUAUUUUAAGUACAUGGGUGUGGAGCACAAAAGACUCUCAAGUGUUUCUCCCAGCGAGCUGCAGCCGGAAUAGUGAGAAAUCACAGGAGAGCAAGGGAGGGCAGGUUGGCUAAAUAGCAACGGCCCCAAAAUGGGCUUUUCAGGACCCAGUGCAGGGGUGGAAGGAUGGGGCUGCUGCCGAGAGGGCCGGUGUUUCUGUUGGCAGCCUGGAGGAUCCAAGGCUCCCUGAAGCACUCACUGGCCUUGGUCUGGUGAGGCCAGCAGAGGCUUUGGUCAGUGCACAGAUGGCCCCAGCACUGAUCCUGUGUGUGCUGCUGGAAGUCGGCAGCUCUUGGUUCCAGAGGGGGCCACCACGGGGUCACAGGGUGGCCUGCAUGGAAGGAAGCCAAGGAAAGGGGUAAACAAGGGGUAAACACCAAGUCCUUCCUCCUGCUCACUGAACCCUGACCACCACAGCAGCAUCAGUUCCAGCCAGGGCUUGGGUUCCAGGAGGACCAUUAGAAGACCAUUAGAAGCACCAAACGACACUCAUACUGAAUAAGAAGGUGAGAACAAAAAACAACAGGGCAGAUGAGGUUUGUCUUGAUGUAGGCUUGGAAGCAGUGAGAGAGAAGAAUUCCAUAUAAAAUCCCAUGAAGGUGGAAACACAGUGGUGAUUCAUUCAGUGUGGACUCUCAAGGCAACCUACUUAGGUUCAAAACCUCGCUCUGCCACUUGCUAGCUGUGUGACCUCAGGCAAGUUACUUGACCUCUCUGGGGCCUCAGCUUUGUCAUCUGUAAAAGGGGGUUAAUAACAGUCAUUCCAUCUCGUAGCAUUGUUCUGCAGGUUAAAUGGAAUGCUGAAUAUACAAGCAGAGCACAGGGAAAGGUCUCAGUAAAUGUCAGUGGAAUGAUCAUUAAAGACAUGAUAAAGGUGAUUCCACAAAGACCAGAGCUGUGACAGAUCCCGUAAGAAGGAGCUGGGGAUGAAGUAGGCACUGACGUCUGACAUGAGGAGGGGUUUUGUGCGUGUGUGUGUGUGUGUGUGUGUGUGUGUGUGUGUGUGUGUGUGUGUUCAGCAGGUGAUGGGGCUGCUACCAGGCCUAAACGCAACUUGAACUUCAAGUUCAAGUUCACUCCUGCCCCGCCAGCUGGCGACCUUUGUAAGGCACAACUGUGAGUGGCUGAUAUGCUAUGUAAACAAGCCAGGCCAGUGCUCCUCACUGCAACAUGUGUUGUCUCCCUCGACGCCAGUGUGUCCAUCCAAAUGCCAGGGCAAAAUACUAACUGCUUUAUUUAGUUGGGAAGAAGGUCAAGGGGUGAGUCUUCCUGGACACUCGCUGCCAUGACACACUCCCCAGGGCCAGUCAGCGGGGAGGCCCCAGGUCUAGGCUUGAUUAGUCUUGACGUUGGCGGCCCUGGGGCUGGUGAACUCUGACAGCCAAUUGUGGUCAAAUAAAGCCACGGCUGGAACCUGCAGUUCCGCAUGGCCCAGCGCACUCUCCACUUCCUCACCACAUCUGGGAAGUGGCUAAACCUCAGGAUUGCUUCAAAUGUGCACACUGCUCCCCAAAGAGCUGAGGGUGGCAAGGAGAUUACAAAGCAAAAAGACAUGCAGCUCGGGGUCAUUUCUUGCCUAGGUGUGAAGAACAUAUUUAAAAGUGCAUCCAGGCCACAUCAGAGCAGAAUCCUCCUAUAACACCCCGUGUCUGACGGGCGAGCCCCGACUCCUGUUGUGACUCGGCCUCCUCAGGUCUAGUUUGCAGGUAUCCCCGGUCUACCUGAGUUGGCUCUGCAGCAGACUCUGUUCCUGUCACUCUCCUUAGUGUAGGUCUGUAAGCAUGAGUCAUCUUCUUCUUUUGGGGACAGUUUCAGGGGAUGUGAAACUUGCCCUUUGUCACGCAAAGGAAGGCUGCAGACACAAAGGAGCCGUCUGCCCUGGGGGCUCAGAGUCCUUAGGAAACACAAUCGCAACAUUUUUCACUCUUGUGUUUGUCUGCAGGAAAGCCAGUUGUGCCCAGAGUCUUGAAACGCCCAAAGAGUGAGAAAGGAAAAAUAAAAGAAAAACAUCGCAGCUUUUAAAAACCAAGAGAGUCAGUGAAGGCUCAGGUUCUGCUCUUUGCAAAUUCAGGAAAUCCCACAAGAUCCUGAAAGGUUGCAGGGAGAUUUCUCCUUUUACAAUAGAUGGCUUUGGGUCUAAUUUUAAUUGCGGAUAACUAAGUAUAAAAAUUAACGUACCCUCGGAUUCCAGGAGUAGUCUGCAUUUGGAGUAUUUUUUAUGAAGUAUUUUUAAUUUUGAUUUCUCACUUUUCCACUGGAACAACCUAACAGCCAAAAUUCAUGCUUAUGCUCCUCUUCCAUUUCCUUACCCAAACAUUUGCCACUAUUUUUGACAGUGGAGUUGUAUAAUUAAUUUAUUUGGGGAUUUCUGGACGGGAUACAAAUCCUUCAACUUGCACAUAAUUUCCUGAUUCUCCAUGCUGAAUUGAAUUAAGAUGUCGGCGUACUGUAUAUACUUGUGUGCAAAGUGCCUGUAUUUGCAGAUUGCUUGAUCCAAUCGCACUCACAUCACACAUGCAAAAUGCAGACUUGAGGCCUAAGCUACUGGCACCAGGACUACCCUCAAAAGUCAGACUGAAAAUCAGGUCCUUAGAAUAUAGAACUCAGUUUUCCAUGGAAAUGGCAUUUGUUUGGAAUUAUGGAUUGUUUGAAAAAUAGCUGUUUUACUUGGAGAAAACCGAAGACAUGCAAAGCAUUUUCUCUGGAGAUGUUCUAUGAAAAUGAGUUGUUUGAGGACAGGGACAGAAUUUUAUUCAUCUUUGUAUCUUCUAUUCUGAGGCAAUAAAGAAAAGUUUGAUAAAUGAGGCCAGGCAUGGUGGCACAUGCCUGUAAUCCCAGCACUUUGGGAGGCCAAGACGGGAGGAUCACUAGAGCUCAGGAGUUCAAGACCAGUCUGGGCAGCUUGGUGAAACCCCA